GGAUGCGAUGAUACCAGCACUAAAGCACCGGAUCCCAGUUAAGCGUGCUUGGGCGAGAGUAGUACUAGGAUGGGUGACCUCCUGGGAAGUCCUCGUGUUGCAUUCC
RNAcentral lists this ribosomal RNA (106 nucleotides) under Triticum aestivum (bread wheat). The record is from RNAcentral. Lineage: Eukaryota; Viridiplantae; Streptophyta; Magnoliopsida; Poales; Poaceae.